GAUGAACGCUGGCGGCGUGCCUAAUACAUGCAAGUCGAGCGAACAGACGAGGAGCUUGCUCCUCUGACGUUAGCGGCGGACGGGUGAGUAACACGUGGAUAACCUACCUAUAAGACUGGGAUAACUUCGGGAAACCGGAGCUAAUACCGGAUAAUAUAUUGAACCGCAUGGUUCAAUAGUGAAAGACGGUUUUGCUGUCACUUAUAGAUGGAUCCGCGCCGGAUUAGCUAGUUGGUAAGGUAACGGCUUACCAAGGCAACGAUGCGUAGCCGACCUGAGAGGGUGAUCAGCCACACUGGAACUGAGACACGGUCCAGACUCCUACGGGAGGCAGCAGUGGGGAAUCUUGCACAAUGGGCGCAAGCCUGACGGAGCCACGCCGCGUGAGUGAAGAAGGUCUUCGGAUCGUAAAACUCUGUUAUUAGGGAAGAACAAAUGUGUAAGUAACUAUGCACGUCUUGACGGUACCGAAUCAGAAAGCAACGGCUAACUACGUG
RNAcentral lists this ribosomal RNA (497 nucleotides) under uncultured bacterium. RNAcentral describes it as "partial 16S ribosomal RNA". It matches the Rfam family "Bacterial small subunit ribosomal RNA", at positions 28 to 507 of the family's 1533-position model. The record is from RNAcentral.